GUCCACAGCCAUACCACCCUGAACAAGCCAGAUCCCAUCUGAUCUCGGAAGUUAAGCAGGGUCUGGCCUGGUUAGUACUUGGAUGGGAGACCACCUACAAAGAUCAGGUGCUGUAGGUG
RNAcentral lists this ribosomal RNA (119 nucleotides) under Pteropus alecto (black flying fox). Lineage: Eukaryota; Metazoa; Chordata; Mammalia; Chiroptera; Pteropodidae. The record is from RNAcentral.